This 114-nucleotide microRNA precursor is filed under the name Medicago truncatula (barrel medic). RNAcentral describes it as "miR2663 stem-loop (mtr-MIR2663)". Lineage: Eukaryota; Viridiplantae; Streptophyta; Magnoliopsida; Fabales; Fabaceae. The record is from miRBase by way of RNAcentral.
CAUUAAAAAUAAUCAAAUAAUUAGAGAGGGCGUUACAAUUUUUAUGGUGAUGCUCGUGGUGGGUGGUGGUGGACUUUUGUGAUGGUUAAUGGUGAUUUUUGUGGUGGUUAAUGG